UGGGGAAUAUUGCGCAAUGGGCGAAAGCCUGACGCAGCGACGCCGCGUGAGGGAUGAAGGUUUUCGGAUCGUAAACCUCUGUCAGAAGGGAAGAAACCGCACUGUGCUAAUCAGCAGUGCCUUGACGGUACCUUCAAAGGAAUCACCGGCUAACUCCGUGCCAGCAGCCGCGGUAAUACGGAGGGUGCAAGCGUUAAUCGGAAUUACUGGGAGUAAAGCGCACGUAGGCUGCUUUGUAAGUCAGGGGUGAAAUCCCACGGCUCAACCGUGGAACUGCCUUUGAUACUGCUUAGCUUGAAUCCGGGAGAGGGUGGCGGAAUUCCAGGUGUAGGUGUGAAAUCCGUAGAUAUCUGGAGGAACAUCAGUGGCGAAGGAGGCCACCUGGACCGGUAUUGACGCUGAGGUGCGAAAGCGUGGGGAGCAAACAGG
RNAcentral lists this ribosomal RNA (429 nucleotides) under Fusobacteriota bacterium. Its description in RNAcentral is "Fusobacteria bacterium partial 16S ribosomal RNA". It matches the Rfam family "Bacterial small subunit ribosomal RNA", at positions 355 to 776 of the family's 1533-position model. The record is from RNAcentral. Lineage: Bacteria; Fusobacteriati; Fusobacteriota.